GCCUGUUUUUUUCAAAACAUGGCCUUUUGUUGGUCAAUUUAUAAGAGGUCGAUUCCUGCCCGGUGGAGUUUAAUCUAAACGGCCGCGUUUUACGCGUUAAGGUAGCAUAAUAGCUCGUCUUUUAAUUGGAGGAUGGAAUGAAUGGAGUGACGAUGGAAAGUCUUUAUUAAAAACACUGAUCGAAGUUUACUUUUAAGUGAAAAGGCUUAAAUGGAGUUGUUAGACGAGAAGACCCUGUUGAGCUUAGUAAUCUGAAUCAUAAUUGGAUCUCAGAUAUAUUUGUUCGGGGUAGAAUGGAAGGGAAUAAAAUGCCUUCUUUAGUAAAAUAAGGAUCCAGCAUGGCUGGUAAGAAGAAGAUAGUUACCACAGGGAUAACAGCGCAAUCUUUCUGUAAAGUUCAGAUUUAAGGAGGGGUUUGCGACCUCGAUGUUGAAUUAAGAUUUCUACCAGGAGCAGCAAUUUGGUUAGUAGGACUGUUCGUCCUUUAAAAUCUUACGUGAUCUGGGUUCCAGAC
This 514-nucleotide ribosomal RNA is filed under the name Donax cuneatus. RNAcentral's name for it is "partial 16S ribosomal RNA". It matches the Rfam family "Bacterial large subunit ribosomal RNA", at positions 1798 to 2617 of the family's 2925-position model. Lineage: Eukaryota; Metazoa; Mollusca; Bivalvia; Cardiida; Donacidae. The record is from RNAcentral.